Molecule: ribosomal RNA, 465 nt
Filed under: uncultured bacterium
Lineage: Bacteria
Description: partial 16S ribosomal RNA
Rfam family: Bacterial small subunit ribosomal RNA
Source: RNAcentral
GAACGCUGGCGGCGUGCUUAACACAUGCAAGGCGAACGGAAAGGCCCUGCUUUUGUGGGGUGCUCGAGUGGCGAACGGGUGAGUAACACGUGAGUAACCUGCCCUUGACUUUGGGAUAACUUCAGGAAACUGGGGCUAAUACCGGAUAGGAGCUCCUGCUGCAUGGUGGGGGUUGGAAAGUUUCGGCGGUUGGGGAUGGACUCGCGGCUUAUCAGCUUGUUGGUGGGGUAGUGGCUUACCAAGGCUUUGACGGGUAGCCGGCCUGAGAGGGUGACCGGCCACAUUGGGACUGAGAUACGGCCCAGACUCCUACGGGAGGCAGCAGUGGGGAAUAUUGCACAAUGGGCGGAAGCCUGAUGCAGCAACGCCGCGUGCGGGAUGACGGCCUUCGGGUUGUAAACCGCUUUCGCCUGUGACGAAGCGUGAGUGACGGUAAUGGGUAAAGAAGCACCGGCUAACUACGUG